AACUUUCAACAACGGAUCUCUUGGUUCUCGCAUCGAUGAAGAACGCAGCGAAAUGCGAUAAGUAAUGUGAAUUGCAGAAUUUAGUGAAUCAUCGAGUUUUUGAACGCACAUUGCGCCCCUUGUAACUGAUGGGCAUGCCUGUUCGAGCGUCAUUUAAACCCUCAGCGCCAGCUGGUGUUGGGCCACGCGAUCGCGGGCCCGAAAUUCAGAGGCGACGUGCCAACCGACAGUGGACAAGAGUCUGGCUCCGGUUGCAACACGUCCGCCAAAGAUCAUACAUUUUUGACCUCGGAUCAGGUAGGAAUACCCGCUGAACUUAAGCAUAUCAAUAAGCGGAGGCU
RNAcentral lists this unclassified non-coding RNA (341 nucleotides) under uncultured Ascomycota. Its description in RNAcentral is "sequence contains ITS2". The stretch from base 1 to 152 matches the Rfam family "5.8S ribosomal RNA". Lineage: Eukaryota; Fungi; Ascomycota. The record is from RNAcentral.